This is a long non-coding RNA of Armigeres subalbatus, 904 nucleotides long. RefSeq lists it as uncharacterized. The record is from RefSeq and is a predicted model, not a curated record. The transcript has 2 exons. NCBI's taxonomy places the organism in Eukaryota, Metazoa, Arthropoda, Insecta, Diptera, Culicidae.
GGUUUCAAUAAUUGCCCAGGCGAAAUCAUUUAUAGGAGUGCAUCCAUUACGAUUCCCCCACGGAAAGCCAAACAAGCUACAUUAUUGAAGCGGGACCGAAGAGGAACCUCCCUGGAGUCACGAUGCCCGUUGGUAAAUUGAACCGAGCAGUGCUCCUGAUGCGGUACAAAUAUGACGUGAUGAAUUUCCAGCGUAGCAGACACAAAUCGUGGGAAACGCUCUUGCGGAACGUUCCGGGUGUCGUGUCUGAUUCACAUUGGGAAUUGUUCGGUGAAAUGGUCAUGAUUCCAGUUUGAAAAUCGCAAUUGAUGUAAGAGAAGGAAAUGGCAGCCAAAUUUUUCGAUAUAUCGAAAGAUAAAUUGUAUCGGAUAAGGAAACAGUAGCGUAUUGAGUAGUACCUGGUGUAGCGACCUGUCUCCCAUUGGUAAACGCUAUGGCUGGAGUACUAAUGCUGUUGCCAUGGCAUACGAAACCAACGAUAUCUUUGGGAGAAACUUUCUUACUGGUGUAUCUAAUUCCGGAGGAAGGGAAAAUGGAAUCCAAUCGGACAAAGCACUACUUCCCGAUUCAAGGCUCACGAUUCUUGUUGUAGUAUGUACUGCGCUCAAAGUGGCGACGAUUUCCUUAGAAAACCUUAGAUUCCUUUGAGACAAUUCUAAUGACAAAUGUACUGUUGCUAGUGUUUUUCUGCUCGUGAACCUUUCAUAUAGUGACCCCUAGGAUCUCAGGUACCAGCUUGGUUUGAUCACUUGGUCCGGCGUGAACUGACAUUACUGGUGAACAUGCAUAAAAAUGACAAAAAAUUGACUAAUUGCUUUUAAUCUUCAGGCGGUAUUCAGGUAUAACAAUAUUUAUGACGUGCAGGCAGAUUUGCAAUGAAUAAAAUUUUCUAAAAUUGAAUAUA